This 342-nucleotide unclassified non-coding RNA is filed under the name Limnodrilus hoffmeisteri complex sp. II. Its description in RNAcentral is "internal transcribed sapcer 2". Lineage: Eukaryota; Metazoa; Annelida; Clitellata; Tubificida; Naididae. The record is from RNAcentral.
GUUGAACGUAUCAAUCGUCGGUCGUCCGAWUCWUGCCSACKCAUUGKAUCGUCGAGGCGCGGGUGAACGAUACCCGGGAACACGGGGGUUCGAGCGGCGUACGGUCCUCUCGGGGGSCGCGCCGUCGUCUCGAGCUGCUCGCKCCUCGUCSUCCGAAGAACAGAAGGGACCGCGCAAMCACGCCGRCCGCACGUYCGAAGUCCGCUGGCKGACGGGGACGGMGACUCGGAGAGAUACCGUGAUCGGCCGUCGCCCGCCGUGGCGGAACGGUCGGCGUGGAAGCGAAGGACCCAAGGCGCACACGAAGCUCGAAUCGGCCCCACGCGGGCCGACUUGCAGACU